GGGGAAUAUUGCGCAAUGGGGGAAACCCUGACGCAGCAACGCCGCGUGGAGGAAGAAGGUCUUCGGAUUGUAAACUCCUGUCUUCUGGGACGAAUAAAUGACGGUACCAGAGGAGGAAGCCACGGCUAACUACGUGCCAGCAGCCGCGGUAAUACGUAGGUGGCAAGCGUUGUCCGGAAUUAUUGGGCGUAAAGGGUGCGUAGGCGGCCUUGUAAGUCAGAUGUGAAAGGCUACGGCUCAACCGUAGUAAGCAUUUGAAACUGCAGAGGCUUGAGUGCAGGAGAGGAGAGUGGAAUUCCUAGUGUAGCGGUGAAAUGCGUAGAUAUUAGGAGGAACACCAGUGGCGAAGGCGACUCUCUGGACUGUAACUGACACUGAGGCACGAAAGCGUGGGGAGCAAACA
RNAcentral lists this ribosomal RNA (403 nucleotides) under uncultured Eubacteriales bacterium. RNAcentral's name for it is "bacterial SSU rRNA". It matches the Rfam family "Bacterial small subunit ribosomal RNA", at positions 356 to 774 of the family's 1533-position model. Lineage: Bacteria; Bacillati; Bacillota; Clostridia; Eubacteriales. The record is from RNAcentral.